Long non-coding RNA from Neodiprion virginianus, 366 nucleotides. RefSeq lists it as uncharacterized. NCBI's taxonomy places the organism in Eukaryota, Metazoa, Arthropoda, Insecta, Hymenoptera, Diprionidae. The record is from RefSeq and is a predicted model, not a curated record. The transcript is spliced from 4 exons.
CCUGAUGCACCUCGAGUUCCAGGUCUAGCGCUCCGUAGUUUCUACGCUCCAGGUCCGCUAUCUGGUGAAACUCGACUUUAGGGACAAGUGCUCCGUAGUUUCGGCGCUCCAGGUCCGCUACCUGGUGAAUCGCGACUGUCGGAGGACGAGGAAGACGAGGAGAACAAGGUGGACAAGGAUGACGAGGAUUUCUGCACGGUAUAACUCGAAGUGGUUACCGAUGGUGGUUGGAGGCGGUUGGCGGUAGUUGGCGGUGGUCGAGGGUGGACGUUGAGGAGGACAAGGAAGACGAGGAUUUGUGCUCGGUAUAACCGGAGGUGGUUGCCGAUGGUUGUGGUGGUUGAAGGUGGACGAGGAGGACGAGGA